Molecule: ribosomal RNA, 518 nt
Filed under: uncultured bacterium
Lineage: Bacteria
Description: bacterial SSU rRNA
Rfam family: Bacterial small subunit ribosomal RNA
Source: RNAcentral
CCGGGUAAUGAUUGGGCGUAAAGCGUCCGCAGGUGGCAGUUCAAGUCUGCUGUCAAAGACCGGGGCUUAACUUCGGAAAGGCAGUGGAAACUGAACAGCUAGAGUAUGGUAGGGGCAGAGGGAAUUCCUGGUGUAGCGGUGAAAUGCGUAGAGAUCAGGAAGAACAUCGGUGGCGAAGGCGCUCUGCUGGACCAUAACUGACACUCAGGGACGAAAGCUAGGGGAGCGAAUGGGAUUAGAUACCCCAGUAGUCCUAGCCGUAAACGAUGGAUACUAGGCGUUGUCUGUAUCGACCCGGACAGUGCCGUAGCUAACGCGUUAAGUAUCCCGCCUGGGGAGUACGCACGCAAGUGUGAAACUCAAAGGAAUUGACGGGGGCCCGCACAAGCGGCGGAGCAUGCGGAUUAAUUCGAUGCAACGCGAAGAACCUUACCUGGUCUUGACAUAGUGAGAAUCUCUCAGAGAUGAGAGAGUGCCUUCGGGAACUCACAUACAGGUGCUGCAUGGCUGUCGUCAGC